GUGAGUCAUCGAAUCUUUGAACGCACAUUGCGCCCGUCAGUAUUCUGGCGGGCAUGCCUGUUCGAGCGUCAUUACGCCCCUCAAGUCCCCUGUGGACUUGGUGUUGGGGAUCGGCGAGGCUGGUUUUCCAGCACAGCCGUCCCUCAAAUCAAUUGGCGGUCUCGCCGUGGCCCUCCUCUGCGCAGUAGUAAAACACUCGCAACAGGAGCCCGGCGCGGUCCACUGCCGUAAAACCCCCCAACUUUUUAUAGUUGACCUCGAAUCAGGUAGGACUACCCGCUGAACUUAAGCAUAUCAAUAAGCGGAGGA
This 309-nucleotide unclassified non-coding RNA is filed under the name Metarhizium sp. Its description in RNAcentral is "partial contains 5.8S ribosomal RNA, internal transcribed spacer 2, and large subunit ribosomal RNA". The stretch from base 1 to 71 matches the Rfam family "5.8S ribosomal RNA", at positions 84 to 154 of the family's 154-position model. Lineage: Eukaryota; Fungi; Ascomycota; Sordariomycetes; Hypocreales; Clavicipitaceae. The record is from RNAcentral.